GUGCCAGCUUUCGCAGCACAUAUUCUAAAAUUGGAACAGUAUAGAAAAGAUUAGCAUGGUCCCUGUACAAGGAUGGCACACAAAUUCGUGAAGUGUUCUGUAAUUCU
Molecule: small nuclear RNA, 107 nt
Filed under: Procavia capensis (Cape rock hyrax)
Lineage: Eukaryota; Metazoa; Chordata; Mammalia; Hyracoidea; Procaviidae
Source: RNAcentral